GGCCCAUUCGUCUAGUGGCCUAGGACACCGCCCUCUCACGGCGGCGGCACGGGUUCGAAUCCCGUAUGGGCCUCCU
This 76-nucleotide transfer RNA is filed under the name Actinomycetes bacterium. RNAcentral's name for it is "Actinobacteria bacterium tRNA-Glu". It matches the Rfam family "tRNA". From Rfam's summary of the family: Transfer RNA (tRNA) molecules are approximately 80 nucleotides in length. Their secondary structure includes four short double-helical elements and three loops (D, anti-codon, and T loops). Further hydrogen bonds mediate the characteristic L-shaped molecular structure. tRNAs have two regions of fundamental functional importance: the anti-codon, which is responsible for specific mRNA codon recognition, and the 3' end, to which the tRNAs corresponding amino acid is attached (by aminoacyl-tRNA synthetases). tRNAs cope with the degeneracy of the genetic code in two manners: having more than one tRNA (with a specific anti-codon) for a particular amino acid; and 'wobble' base-pairing, i.e. permitting non-standard base-pairing at the 3rd anti-codon position. The record is from RNAcentral. Lineage: Bacteria; Bacillati; Actinomycetota; Actinomycetes.